CGCAGCCUGCCUGGGGGCGGGCGCUACACAAAACACUUGUUUUCCCCAGCGGUGGGCGCCGUCCGUCUUCGAGUCUGAUUGGCUACUUGAGGCCGAGAAGGCGGGCAUGAAGCGCUAUCGGCUUCGCUGAUUGGCUGGAAUGGGCAUUGGCGCCGUCGGAGGGCUGAAGCGGCGGCCUGCAGGUGACACAGCACCACCUCAGGCUGUAACAGCCCGCCACCGGGUGAGGCCUCUCAGGAUGGGAGGCCGGUGCUCUCCGUCAGAAACGGGCUUACCGUACCAGGAAAAGCUAAAGGAUGACCUGGGGGUACCUGAAGAGGAUGAGGAGCUCGAGGGUUUCAGGCGGGAGGCGGCAGUCCUGCGUGACAAGCUGUGGGAGGCUCUCAGUCGUACAUCUGGCAACAAAAGGCAGUCCAGUUCUUUGAUUGACCUCACCUCGGACAGUACAUGGGAUCAGCCAAAGCCUCACUUGAUUCCUAAAUCCCGCUUGAGGCCAAAAAGCGCUUCAUCUCCCUGGAUUCCUUCCAUCACCAUCCCUCAGCCCUUCAAAAUGACACUGCGGGAAGCUCACCAAAAGUCCCAGUUGAUGAAGUCCUACACGUUUCUUGAACUAGACAAACAGAGAGACAAAAGGCAAAGCCAGGACGAAGCUGAAUGUCAGAAACAAUUUCGGGCGCAGCCUGUACCUGCCCAUGUGUUUCUGCCCCUUUAUCAGGAAAUAAUGGAGCAGAAUGAGAUUCGCAGGCAAAUAGCAACACAGAAAAGAAAGGAGCUGCUACUUGCAACCCAGCGGCCCUUCAGUUUCUUGGAGAAGGAGGAGAAAAAGAAAGAAGCUAUCAGACAAAAGUUCCUGGCAGCAGCAACCACAAAUGAGAGCUCCAAACUGAAGCAAGUCAGUAAAAAAGUGCCUAAAUCUACUUAUGACUCACUGCUUGGAGAUAAACUCAAAGAAGCUGAACUCUACAGAGAAAUCCGCAUUCAAAUGAGAGCCAAGGAUUUGCUUGAGAGCUCCGUAGCUCUUAUAGAUACUAACAACUGUCGGAGGGAGCCUCAGUGCCGAACUGCCACUAAAACUAAACAGGAAAGACUUGGCUUCUUGCAGGACAAAAGUUUCAGCUUCAAGCCAAGGAUUAAUCCAACAAUACCGGAUUUUGAAGGACUUUACUGGGCAUUUCAGAGGGAAGCAGUAAGGAGACAAGAAAUCAAAGAGGCAACUCGUAAUAAGCCUUUCAAGCUAAGAACCUCCAAUCUCCAUGGCAGGCAGAGGCAGGCUAAUGAAAAGAUAAAGGAUUCUCAGCAACUUUCCAAGGUUUCAGUGCAAAAAGGUCAUUCUCUGACUGGACUUUCCUCUCUCUCUUCCAACACCCUUCCAGUGCAUAUUACAGAUGCCACUAGAAAAAGGGAAUCUGCUCUUAAAUACUCCCAAGAUAGCAAAAAGGAAGGGAACAAAGAAGGAAUUUAUUGGCUGGAGAAACAGAAAAAGAAAUGCCAAGCUAUCCAAAAGUCAGUGAACAGCCGAGCAAAAGCCCUUGAUCCACACAGAAGUCUGGAGGAAACACACAAGGAGAAGUCAAAACAGAACUGGCAAAAUAUGAGAGCAAGAACAAAAGAAUACAGAAAGGAGCUGGAAGAAAUGCAGCUGCGAGUCAAGAACAGACCAUACCUCUUUGAACAGGUCACCAAGGUGCUCUCCGUUUAUUGAGCUCUGCAGUUGCUAGUGCUUACAAAUUACAAGCAAACGUGCUUCUGGAAUUUCUCACAACUCCUUUUUGCACAUAUUCUCAAAUUGAGUGUCAGAGUCAGGACUGAGACACAAGUAUGUUAGUCUGGUAAGACUGGAACACUGUAGAAGCAGGAGAGCAGAAGAAGGAAGAAAAAGGACAGAAGCAGGAAAAGCAUGAUGCUCGUCAAGGAGCAGAGCGUCGCUACAGACACACCCUGCAGCAGGUUGGCCUAAGCGAAGAAUUUGUAAAGAAAAAAGGGAAAGGUGCCACUGACUUGCUGGAAGAAGAAUCUGAUGUUCACAGAGCACCCAAGCCUCAGCGUGAAAAGGACAACUGUACUGUACAGGAAGGAGAACCUCAAGAGGAACAGAGUGGAAAGCAAGUGGCAACAUGAGAUCUAGCAAAAGAAUCCAUCGAUCAUCUCUUGAUUUUUUUUAAAUUCAAGAUUCUCUGGGUUAAUCCUCAGAAGCUUUCUGAUUGAGACUGACACCUAAGAAUUGCUCUGGAGGAAGCGAGAUGUGAGAACUUAGUAAAGGAAAGGAAGAGCAACUGUUGUUUAGAGCAUGUCUUGUCCAACCCAGCAAACCCUGCAACCUUCCUUAGUCUUCACAAGUGCUCCCAGUGUGAGCCAUUUAUCUUUCUUUAACGGGAAACAAGAUAAAAAGGUUGAAGCACAGUCUUUGGAUAAAAGUAGAUAUGAAAGAUUGAAGCGGUGCAUCCUCUAGUGUCAGCUCCUUGUGUUGAUGCCACAGAAGCACACAGAAAGAGGAGAAUGUCUUUCAGUGCACUAAACCUUUGUUUACACAUAUCUGCGGUAGAAUGCUUUUAAACAAGGUAUUUCUGAGAAAAUAAAAAUUGCAGGAGUUGACCUACCUUGGCAGAAGGCGGGCAGAAGACUCAGAGGGAAGUCCUUCUCUGGUGUUAACUCUUCAGUCACUUGUUACCAGCACCGCUCCUUCCAUUAGGAAGAAGCAAUAGUAUAGGAGAUAUUUUAAUAAAGACUUAAUUAUUUGAAACUGUUUUAACAUCUUACCAAUUUAGGUCAUUAAUUUGGCCUGAAAAACAACCAAAAUUAUGAAGAAGGUUGUAAUUAAACAAUGCAUCAUGUAGGAUUGCUGGUGUCCUAAUUCUACGAUUACUGUGAUAACAAAGAUGGACUUUGGUGGAAGAAAGAUCAGGCAUUACCUGUCAAGCAUGUUGCACUCAAAUCCCUGGGGCAUCUUAAAUGGUCUAGUUCACACUUUGGUGGUCUUUCUUUAUCUGACAGUAGUUACAAUCUCAAAAAUACAAACCCUUGCCACCUGGAAUGUUUUCUGAUAAUUAUUAUAUCAAAGCAAUUUGAGAUUAAAAGAUUUUUAAAUGGCUA
Columba livia (rock pigeon) is the source of this 3090-nucleotide RNA transcript. It is a transcript of the gene named FAM161 centrosomal protein B, with no coding region annotated. The transcript has 10 exons. Lineage: Eukaryota; Metazoa; Chordata; Aves; Columbiformes; Columbidae. The record is from RefSeq and is a predicted model, not a curated record.